Molecule: ribosomal RNA, 1372 nt
Filed under: uncultured bacterium
Lineage: Bacteria
Description: bacterial SSU rRNA
Rfam family: Bacterial small subunit ribosomal RNA
Source: RNAcentral
GAUGAACGCUGGCGGCGUGCCUAAUACAUGCAAGUCGAGCGAACGGACGAGAAGCUUGCUUCUCUGAUGUUAGCGGCGGACGGGUGAGUAACACGUGGAUAACCUACCUAUAAGACUGGGAUAACUUCGGGAAACCGGAGCUAAUACCGGAUAAUAUUUUGAACCGCAUGGUUCAAAAGUGAAAGACGGUCUUGCUGUCACUUAUAGAUGGAUCCGCGCUGCAUUAGCUAGUUGGUAAGGUAACGGCUUACCAAGGCAACGAUGCAUAGCCGACCUGAGAGGGUGAUCGGCCACACUGGAACUGAGACACGGUCCAGACUCCUACGGGAGGCAGCAGUAGGGAAUCUUCCGCAAUGGGCGAAAGCCUGACGGAGCAACGCCGCGUGAGUGAUGAAGGUCUUCGGAUCGUAAAACUCUGUUAUUAGGGAAGAACACAUGUGUAAGUAACUGUGCACAUCUUGACGGUACCUAAUCAGAAAGCCACGGCUAACUACGUGCCAGCAGCCGCGGUAAUACGUAGGUGGCAAGCGUUAUCCGGAAUUAUUGGGCGUAAAGCGCGCGUAGGCGGUUUUUUAAGUCUGAUGUGAAAGCCCACGGCUCAACCGUGGAGGGUCAUUGGAAACUGGAAAACUUGAGUGCAGAAGAGGAAAGUGGAAUUCCAUGUGUAGCGGUGAAAUGCGCAGAGAUGUGGAGGAACACCAGUGGCGAAGGCGACUUUCUGGUCUGUAACUGACGCUGAUGUGCGAAAGCGUGGGGAUCAAACAGGAUUAGAUACCCUGGUAGUCCACGCCGUAAACGAUGAGUGCUAAGUGUUAGGGGGUUUCCGCCCCUUAGUGCUGCAGCUAACGCAUUAAGCACUCCGCCUGGGGAGUACGACCGCAAGGUUGAAACUCAAAGGAAUUGACGGGGACCCGCACAAGCGGUGGAGCAUGUGGUUUAAUUCGAAGCAACGCGAAGAACCUUACCAAAUCUUGACAUCCUUUGACAACUCUAGAGAUAGAGCUUUCCCCUUCGGGGGACAAAGUGACAGGUGGUGCAUGGUUGUCGUCAGCUCGUGUCGUGAGAUGUUGGGUUAAGUCCCGCAACGAGCGCAACCCUUAAGCUUAGUUGCCAUCAUUAAGUUGGGCACUCUAAGUUGACUGCCGGUGACAAACCGGAGGAAGGUGGGGAUGACGUCAAAUCAUCAUGCCCCUUAUGAUUUGGGCUACGCACGUGCUACAAUGGACAAUACAAAGGGCAGCGAAACCGCGAGGUCAAGCAAAUCCCAUAAAGUUGUUCUCAGUUCGGAUUGUAGUCUGCAACUCGACUACAUGAAGCUGGAAUCGCUAGUAAUCGUAGAUCAGCAUGCUACGGUGAAUACGUUCCCGGGUCU